AGUGAACGCUGGCGGUAGGCCUAACACAUGCAAGUCGAACGGCAGCACAGUAAGAGCUUGCCCUUACGGGUGGCGAGUGGCGGACGGGUGAAGAAUACAUCGGAAUCUACUUUUUCGUGGGGGAUAACGUAGGGAAACUUACGCUAAUACCGCAUACGACCUACGGGUGAAAGCAGGGGAUCUUCGGACCUUGCGCGAUUGAAUGAGCCGAUGUCGGAUUAGCUAGUUGGCGGGGUAAAGGCCCACCAAGGCGACGAUCCGUAGCUGGUCUGAGAGGAUGAUCAGCCACACUGGAACUGAGACACGGUCCAGACUCCUACGGGAGGCAGCAGUGGGGAAUAUUGGACAAAGGGCGCAAGCCUGAUCCAGCCAUACCGCGUGGGUGAAGAAGGCCUUCGGGUUGUAAAGCCCUUUUGUUGGGAAAGAAAAGCAGCAGGUUAAUACCCCGCUGUUCUGACGGUACCCAAAGAAUAAGCACCGGCUAACUUCGUG
This 492-nucleotide ribosomal RNA is filed under the name uncultured bacterium. RNAcentral's name for it is "partial 16S ribosomal RNA". It matches the Rfam family "Bacterial small subunit ribosomal RNA", at positions 29 to 507 of the family's 1533-position model. The record is from RNAcentral.